AGCGAACGCUGGCGGUAGGCCUAACACAUGCAAGUCGAACGGCAGCACAGUAAGAGCUUGCUCUUACGGGUGGCGAGUGGCGGACGGGUGAGGAAUACAUCGGAAUCUACUUUUUCGUGGGGGAUAACGUAGGGAAACUUACGCUAAUACCGCAUACGACCUACGGGUGAAAGCAGGGGAUCUUCGGACCUUGCGCGAUUGAAUGAGCCGAUGUCGGAUUAGUUAGUUGGCGGGGUAAAGGCCCACCAAGGCGACGAUCCGUAGCUGGUCUGAGAGGAUGGUCGGCCACACGGGAGCGGGAACACGGUCCAGACUCCUGCGGGAGGCAGCAGAGGGGAAUGUUAGACAAUGGGCGCAAGCCUGAUCCAGCCAGACCGCGUGGGUGAAGAAGGCCUUCGGGUUGUAAAGCCCUUUUGUUGGGAAAGAAAAGCAGCAGGUUGAUACCCCGCUGUUCCGACGGUACCCAAAGAAUAAGCACCGGCUAACUUCGUG
Molecule: ribosomal RNA, 492 nt
Filed under: uncultured bacterium
Lineage: Bacteria
Description: partial 16S ribosomal RNA
Rfam family: Bacterial small subunit ribosomal RNA
Source: RNAcentral